AAUUAUAAGAGGGUAGAACAGGCAACUGCCGCGCCACUUUGUGGUCUGAUAAAGAGAUGUAGGGUACGCCGUCCUACCUAUAAUU
RNAcentral lists this non-coding RNA (85 nucleotides) under unclassified sequences. RNAcentral describes it as "skipping-rope RNA". It matches the Rfam family "skipping-rope RNA". From Rfam's summary of the family: Firmicutes, Fusobacteria, AlphaProteobacteria, Spirochaetes. Downstream gene The record is from Rfam by way of RNAcentral.